AACGCAUCUUGCGCCCUUUGGUAUUCCGAAGGGCAUGCCUGUUUGAGUGUCGCGCACCUCUCAACCCCCGCUCCGUGUUCGGAGCGCGCGGGCUUGGACCGUGGCCGUCUCGGUCGCCCUCGGUGGCGGCCCGGCCGAAAUGCACACCUCAGCGAGAUCGCAGCCUUCUGCCGCGGCUUGACCGGACGUUGUAGAGUCACACCACGUUCGGGACGCGCAGAUGGCUCGGCUUGCGCCGGACGCACACUUACACCCUUUCGACCUCAGAUCAGGCAGGACUACCCGCUGAACUUAA
RNAcentral lists this unclassified non-coding RNA (295 nucleotides) under Epithamnolia sp. RNAcentral describes it as "partial contains 5.8S ribosomal RNA, internal transcribed spacer 2, and large subunit ribosomal RNA". The stretch from base 1 to 52 matches the Rfam family "5.8S ribosomal RNA", at positions 103 to 154 of the family's 154-position model. Lineage: Eukaryota; Fungi; Ascomycota; Leotiomycetes; Phacidiales. The record is from RNAcentral. RNAcentral also lists the same sequence under 1 other name.